RNAcentral lists this ribosomal RNA (451 nucleotides) under Polycirrus readi. RNAcentral describes it as "Polycirrus sp. r GD-2020 partial large subunit ribosomal RNA". It matches the Rfam family "Bacterial large subunit ribosomal RNA", at positions 1953 to 2609 of the family's 2925-position model. The record is from RNAcentral. Lineage: Eukaryota; Metazoa; Annelida; Polychaeta; Terebellida; Terebellidae.
AAGGUAGCGUAAUAAAUCGCCCUUUAAUUGUGGGCUUGUAUGAAUGGACAAACGAGAGAAAUACUGUCUCUUAAAUAAAAAUAAAAAUUAACCUUCAGGUGAAGAGGCCUGAUUUUAAUUAAAGGACAAAAAGACCCUGUAGAGCUUAGCUCAAAUAAACUAUUUAACAUAAUUAUUUAUACUUUAUCUUAAUACCUUAAUAUGAGCUUAGCUGGGGCGGCUAAGGAAAAUAUAUCUUCCAUUUACUUUCUUCGGUUAAUAUACCCUACAUUAAUUGACCCUUAAAAGAUCAAAAAAGAAAGCUACCUCAGGGAUAACAGAUUAAUCCUUCUUGAGAGUUCGCAUUGACAGAAGGGCUUGACACCUCGAUGUUGGCUUAAGGUACCCAAUAAAUUCGCAGCAGUUUAUAAAGGUAGGUUUGUUCAACCUUUAAAACCUUACGUGAUCUGAG